ACUAAAAAUCUAGCUCUAUCCCCAUGAAUUCAAUUCAACUAAUUAAACCUUAGUACUAAAUCAUUUUACUUCUUUAGUAAAGGCGAUUGAAAAUUUCAUUGAAGCUAUAGUUAAAGUACCGCAAGGGAAUGAUGAAAUAUCCAAUGAAAAAUUUUUAAGUAUUAAAAAGUAAAGACUACCCCUUGUACCUUUUGCAUCAUGGUUUAACUAGUUAAAUCAAGCAAAACGCAUUUUAGUUUGACCUCCCGAAACUAAGUGAGCUACUUCAAGGCAGCUUCUAGAGCGAACCCGUCUCUGUGGCAAAAGAGUGGGAUGACCUUAAAGUAGGGGUGACAGACCUAACGAACUUGGUGAUAGCUGGUUACUUAAGAAAAGGAUUUAAGUCCAACCUGAAAUAUUUAUGCUAGUAUCUUAAAACAUUAUUUAAAUUUCAGCGUAAUUCAAAUAAGGUACAGCCUAUUUGAAUAAGGAUACAACCUAGACCAGAGGAUAAGAUUAGCCCCAUAUAUAACCAAGUGGGCCUAAAAGCAGCCACCUUUAAAAUUGCGUCAAAGCUUAAUUAUUAUUUUGCCCAAUAACACAAUCUCUAUCUUAAUCCCCAAUCACCACUAAGUAAUUCUAUAUUUAUUAUAGAAAAUUUUAUGUUAAAACUAGUAACAAGAAGAAGAACUUCUCUUAAAUGUAAGUGUAAAUCAGAAAGGACAACCCACUGAUAUUUAACACCCUUGAGCUUGAAAUAGCAACCAAUCAAGAAAACCCUAUUUUAAUUUAUGUUAAUCUAACACAAGAACAUUUUAAGAAAGAUUAAAAGAAAAAGAAGGAACUCGGCAAAUAUUAACCUCGCCUGUUUACCAAAAACAUCGCCUUCUUGAAUUACUAUGAGAGGUCCAGCCUGCCCAGUGACUCUGUUCAACGGCCGCGGUAUCCUAACCGUGCGAAGGUAGCGUAAUCACUUGUUCUUUAAAUGCGGACUAGUAUGAAUGGCACCACGAGGGUUAUACUGUCUCCUUUUUCUAAUCAGUGAAACUAAUCUUCCCGUGAAGAAGCGGGAAUAAAUCUAUAAGACGAGAAGACCCUAUGGAGCUUAAAACAAUUUAGCAUUCACCAAGAAAUAUAAACUUUCCAGAAUUAUAAACCUCCUAGCACAAUGACUAUAAGUUUUUGGUUGGGGUGACCGCGGAGCAUAAUACAACCUCCAUGCUGAAGGAAUAAUAUUCUAAACUAAGAGUCACCGCUCUAAGUAUCAAUAUAUUGACAUUAAUUGACCCAAUAUACUUGAACAACGAACCAAGUUACCCUAGGGAUAACAGCGCAAUCCACUUCAAGAGCUCCUAUCGACAAGUGGGUUUACGACCUCGAUGUUGGAUCAGGGUAUCCCAGUGGUGCAGCCGCUACUAAAGGUUCG
Molecule: ribosomal RNA, 1405 nt
Filed under: Schismaderma carens
Lineage: Eukaryota; Metazoa; Chordata; Amphibia; Anura; Bufonidae
Description: partial 16S ribosomal RNA
Rfam family: Bacterial large subunit ribosomal RNA
Source: RNAcentral